AUGAUACUUGUGUCAGAUUCAGAACAAGAAAAAAAAACCUUUCUUUUUUCCUUAUUUUCUUCAAUUUUUUCUUCUAUAAAUUCACUUCCUCAUUCCUUCAUUUUCAUUCAUUCUCUCACACAUUUUCUUCUCCACAUUUCCUUAACUUCUCCAAGUUGUGAGAUUUUUCAUAGCGAUGGAAAGAUUGAACACAGAAUUGUACUACCAAAACUGUCACAUAAUGAAAGAGAAUGA
Non-coding RNA from Vicia faba (fava bean), 234 nucleotides. The record is from the annotation of a GenBank genome assembly. NCBI's taxonomy places the organism in Eukaryota, Viridiplantae, Streptophyta, Magnoliopsida, Fabales, Fabaceae.